CCUACGGGAGGCAGCAGUGAGGAAUAUUGGUCAAUGGGCGCGAGCCUGAACCAGCCAAGCCGCGUGAGGGAAGACGGUCCUAUGGAUUGUAAACCUCUUUAGUCGGGGAGCAAAAGACGCCACGCGUGGAGUUACGAGAGUACACGAAGAAAAAGCAUCGGCUAACAAAGUGACAGCAGCCGCGGUAAUACGGAGGAGGCGAGCUUUAUCCGGGUUUAUUGGGUUAAAGGGGUGCGCAGGCGGAAGAUCAAGUCGGCGGUAAAAUUGAGAGGCUCAACCUCGUCGAGCCGUUGAAACUGGUUUUCUUGAGUGAGUGAGAAGUAUGCGGAAUGCGUGGUGUAGCGGUGAAAUGCAUAGAUAUCACGCAGAACUCCGAUUGCGAAGGCAGCAUACCGGCGCUCAACUGACGCUCAUGCACGAAAGUGUGGGUAUCGAACAGGAUUAGAUACCCCAGUAGUC
RNAcentral lists this ribosomal RNA (459 nucleotides) under uncultured bacterium. RNAcentral's name for it is "partial 16S ribosomal RNA". It matches the Rfam family "Bacterial small subunit ribosomal RNA", at positions 338 to 795 of the family's 1533-position model. The record is from RNAcentral.